RNAcentral lists this non-coding RNA (99 nucleotides) under Takifugu rubripes (torafugu). Lineage: Eukaryota; Metazoa; Chordata; Actinopteri; Tetraodontiformes; Tetraodontidae. RNAcentral also lists the same sequence under 1 other name. The record is from Rfam by way of RNAcentral.
GGGUCCACUGGAGAAUUCGUAUUGUGCCGCUAGAGGUGAAGUCCUUGGACCGACGCAAGACGGACGAAAGCGAAAGCAUUUGCCAAGAAUGUUUUCAUU